UUUCCGUAGGUGAACCUGCGGAAGGAUCAUUAAUGAAUUUCUGAGUAGCCAAUUCAACUGGCGCUCAAACCUUCAUUUCUAACCCUGUGCACCAUUAUCAAUAAAAGGUUGCGGAACCACGGGACUGAGCGCAAGCGAUGUCUUACCCGCCUUUUUUCACUUUAAACGCUUGUAAAAGAAUGUAUUUAUAUCAAAUAACAAAGAAAAACUUUCAACAACGGAUCUCUUGGUUCUCGCAUCGAUGAAGAACGCAGC
Molecule: unclassified non-coding RNA, 255 nt
Filed under: uncultured fungus
Lineage: Eukaryota; Fungi
Description: sequence contains ITS1, 5.8S rRNA gene
Rfam family: 5.8S ribosomal RNA (bases 207-255)
Source: RNAcentral